AUUCGGGCUUCUCAUGGUCUGUUAGUUCCAGUGAAUAAGGCGUGGUUUCACACUUUCCCCCAAAAAAAAUUAUGGAGAAAAAAAACAAAAAACAAAUCUUAUCUGCUUACUCUAACUGUGCAGUAUCACCUCGCAUGCCUUCGUGUGUGUACUUCACCCACAGACCACAGCAAACCCUGGGGUUACUGCAGGCUGCAUCCCGCUCAUUUCCUGGUUUGUUAUAAUGUUACAGUUCAGGGAAGUGGACACACGCUCUUGUUACAGCAGAAGUCCUCAUCAUCAGCGACGUGUGGAUCAUCUCAUACUGUUUCUUAGCUAGACUUUUUUAUUUUUAUUAUUUACCACAAAUCCACACACGUCCUGUUCUAUGUGCUGUUCGACCAAACCUGAUGUUUUCUGCUCCUUCCUCUUUAAAACAACUUCUCCACCUCAGCAGAUAAACACUGAAGACCUGCAUGUACUUUUCUGAGUAUUUCACUGAGCAUUUAUUUCAAGGUUUUCAGAGAUGGAAGGCUCCGAAAGCGCAAUAAACAGAGUUGGUCGUGCUAUGUGGACUGUUUGGGUCUGGCUGCUGGUUUCCCUGCACUGAGAAAAACUGAAGCUGGAAGAAAAAUAAGAGAUGGAGAGGAUUCAGAGAGUGUAACAUCACAGAAAUCCGACUCAGGCUCACAGUCAGCAGAGGAUAAUGUCAAGCAAGAGACAUCGCCUCCCAAACCAAAAUGGACACCACCAAGACAACCUGGGAUGGGCAGCCCCCUGAUGAUGGCAGAGCUGAAGAGCAAACUCAAAAAACCUACAAAAGAGUAAAAGAAAUUUACCAGAGGAUGAAUUAUGUUUAUUAUCUGUGCAGUGUAUAUAAAUUAGUGUUUAAAUGAGAUAUAAUGUAUGUUAAUAAUUAAAAUAUUUGUUUAAAAUGAGACCUUGCUGCGAUACAAGUUUUUAUUAUGAUCAGACAGAUAGACAGAUAGAUGAGCAGCAAGUUGUUUUUCCCUCUCUAUUUUCUGAAUGUAGGCAUUCUUGUUACUCUAGCAGAAAAAUCACAUUACAUCAAUGGAAAUCUCUUUUUAACAUCUGUUACAUCAUGAAAUAAUCCAAAUGGGGGAAAAAAUUGUGUAAUAGUUCAAGGGGUGAAUACUUAUGUAAUCCACUGUAGAUAGGCAGAUAUAGUAAAAGUUCAUUGAAGUACACACAGCUUAUAGAUCAUGAUUAAAUAGAUCUAGUAACAGGACGUGUCGGACAAAGUCCACCAGCAGUCCACACACACUUUCUCGCUAUAGUAUAAACUGGUUUGCUGGCUUUUUGAAGUGAUGUGUCGUCCUGGAACGAGUCGGUUCUUUUGGAUCAACGUUGAGAGCCGACUCGCAAAUGAAUCGUUUGGAUUUUUUAAACUGUAUUUUUAUUAUUAUUAUUAUUAUUAUUAUUAUUAUUAUUAUUAUUAUUUUAAAUAUGUAUUGUUUAAAUAAACUCGGACUACUUUUUACAAUAUCUGAUUUGUUCUUGAAUGGCGAGAAAGCCUUGAAAAGCCUCUUGAGGUGUUUGAGGCAGCAAAGCAACUGUU
Molecule: long non-coding RNA, 1558 nt
Organism: Ictalurus punctatus (channel catfish)
Lineage: Eukaryota; Metazoa; Chordata; Actinopteri; Siluriformes; Ictaluridae
Source: Ensembl